CCAAUAGCGUAUAUUAAAGUUGUUGCAGUUAAAAAGCUCGUAGUUGAAUUUCGGGGUCAUCAGGUUGGUCGUGCCAAUGGUAUGCACUGGCCUUGGUGAUUCCUCCUUCUUGUAGAGCCGUGAUGCCAUUAAUUUGGUGUUGCGGGGAAACAGGACUGUUACUUUGAAAAAAUUAGAGUGUUUAAAGCAGGCUCACGCUUGAAUACAUUAGCAUGGAAUAAUAAAAUAGGACGUUCGAUCCUAUUUUGUUGGUUUCUAGGGUUGACGUAAUGAUUAAUAGGGAUAGUUGGGGGCAUUAGUAUUCAAUUGUCAGAGGUGAAAUUCUUGGAUUUAUUGAAGACUAACUACUGCGAAAGCAUUUGCCAAGGAUGUUUUCAUUAAUCAAGAACGAAAGUUAGGGGAUCGAAGACGAUCAGAUACCGUCGUAGUCUUAACCAUAAACUAUGCCGACUAGGGAUCGGAUGAUGUUAAUUUUUUAAUGACUCAUUCGGCGCCUUACG
RNAcentral lists this ribosomal RNA (500 nucleotides) under uncultured Glomeromycotina. Its description in RNAcentral is "partial small subunit ribosomal RNA". It matches the Rfam family "Eukaryotic small subunit ribosomal RNA", at positions 591 to 1092 of the family's 1831-position model. The record is from RNAcentral. Lineage: Eukaryota; Fungi; Glomeromycota.